Molecule: long non-coding RNA, 5490 nt
Filed under: Brassica napus (rape)
Lineage: Eukaryota; Viridiplantae; Streptophyta; Magnoliopsida; Brassicales; Brassicaceae
Description: long non-coding RNA (BNAP_LNC005294)
Source: RNAcentral
AUCACGUGCUCGCGUCUGUUGGCAGCUCCAUCACGCCACCACGUGUCGUCGUCUCCGCCGUCUGUAUCCGUAGCUUUGGGAAGGAGCUGAGAAGGAGGAGGAGAAGAACGGGAAUCUCCGAAGAAGGACAUCAUUUUCCCGGGAGGUGAGUGAGAUUCAGUCGGUGGUGAGCUGGUUUGAUACUGUAGGCCAUGAUCAGAAGGUCGUAAGCCUUCGGCGAAGAUGAAGAGGAAUGUUACACUGAACAUGAAGACCGAAGCCGAUCUAACGCGGUUUAAGAGAAGAGCCAUGUGAGGGAGAGAGAGAGACUUUUGUUUUGUUUUGUUUUAUUUUAUUGUCUAGUUAAACUAGUAAAGUAGCUUUUAUGUAAUGUGAUGAGCUCAACGACACCGUUUUGGUAUUGUGGGGUUCUAAAAUAGUUUAUUAGUGUUUUCAAAUUUUCAUCACGGAUUGUCACCGAUGUUGAUUGGAGAAAAAGUGGUAACAGAAAAGAAAGCAACUUUUAAUGGGAAUAAGAAUUGAUAAAGAAGAUAACACCAACUCACCAACUCUUAAUCGAGAAGAAAUAAAUUUCUACACUUGCAAUAGUUUAGUUACUGUAUAUGUUUUUUCAAUGAUUAUGAGGUUCUUGAACUUGCGAUUCUUAUUAAAUAAUCUAAGAGCUUUAGUCACGAAGUCUAACUCAUUGUUAGUUACUGCAUCUGUUAAACACGUUUUAGACUAGUGGAGCAAAGCUUUGUCGUCUAAUUGCUCGUUUGAUUCAAAAUCACUAGUUACUAUGAAUCAGACUAUGCAAACCACAAUAUCAAUAUCUGUUCAUUGAUUUGCCUUAUGGACUAAAAACGUCACAAGGUCCAUCCGUGGGACGCGUCCCACUAAUACACUCUCCACUACAAAUUGUCAAAAACUAUCAAGAAAAUGGAACAGCUGCUUUGAAGUUUGCUACUCUGAACAGUGAUACUCCCUCACAAGUUAGAUUACCAAAAAAAAUUGAGGAGUUUUAAGAAGUUAGUUCCAAAGCUUUUGAUGUCAAGCAGAAGUUCCAGGAACCUCCUCACUAGGUGGCUGCUUUGGUCCUUUAGCUCUUGGUGGUGGCUGUGGCUUUGGUGGUGGUGGCGGUGGUCUUUUUGGUUUCACCUUAUCGACUUCCUCAGAUCCAACUUCAAACUGCAUGGUGUAGCAAACACGAGCUAAGAAGAAAAUAAUAUGCUGCAAAGGCAUCAAAAUGAAGGUUAGAACAAGAGUACCAAACCUUGUAACCACAGCCUGCGACACACGCGUGAAAGCAUUCCUGAAUUUUACAAUAUUAAACAAGUUAGAUACGGUACAGUUCGGUCUGUUUAUGAAAAGGGUAUUCUUUUUAAUGUAGUGUGGAUACCUCAGAGUAGCUGGCAGCUCCAGGAGAACGAUCUAUAUAUGCACUCCAUUGUCGGUCUUUUAGCACAGGGUCUUUGUAGCAUAUCUCACUGCAGUCUGAUACACCUAUAAAGAGAACACUAUCACACCAAUUCAUUAACUUGCAAAAUCAAAACCUGAAGAAGAGGAGAUACUUCAUGAACACACAUAUAUACAAUGUAGGAGACAAGAAUUUUCUGUAAUGUUGUAUAGUGAGGAGUGAGGAGUGAGGAGAGAUGAAUCUGCUCCUCAAUUCAUAAACAAAUCUCAUGAUGGACUUGAGUGAUUAAAAAGAAAUGCUUACAAUCUUCCCAUGAGUCACUGUCGGCAUCACAUCCCUUCUUGCAGAACACUCUCCCUACAGCAUACCAUCUUGUGAUCCCAAUAGAUUCCGGAAAAAUGCCACCACCAUUUCCUUAAUCUGAUUCUGAUUAAAAACUCUGUUGCCUCCCCCAUCCAACAAAUAACUAAUGCAAUUACGAAUCUGAUGGGCCACUACCGCCUUGUAGAAAAACUUAGAAUUCGCAUCUCCACAAUCCAACCACCGAAUCCUUGCCUUUCUACUAAAGAAAAUCUCUUGAGCUGACUCAAAGAAUUGCCACUUCUUCCUAGCCACAAACUCCUGCCGGAACAAUGAGUCACUGGGGGAAGUUAAAAGCUGCAACUGAAUUUCCUUUAGAGAAUCGAGAGCUUCUUUUGCUCGCUGUUGAAUAUUCCCAAAGCCUUCUUUAUUCAACCGUCUACAAGUAGCUUUGGCUUUCUUUAGCCUCUACCGAAGAAAAAGUCACUACUGCUGGGGAAUGAUCUGAGUCUCCCGGCUCCUCAAAAACACUAAUGGCUUCCGGAAAGCUCUCACGCCAUUUUUCAUUGCACACUACUCUAUCCAGCUUCCUGAGUAUGGGAUCCUCAACUCGUCCAUUUGACCAAGUAAAGAAGGUACCCCUAAUGUCCAAAUCUGACAGCUCGCAAUCCUCCAUACAUUGUUGAAACUCCUCCAUACCCCUAACUGGUAGGUCAUACGGGUGUAUUGAGAAAUGCUCUGCCGCUGUGAGAAUUUGAUUAAAGUCGCCAAGAAUUACCAAAGGAGAGGCUGAAACUAGGGGGUUACUAGAGAUAGACACUAGAUCCCUCCAUAAGCUACGUCUCUCCGCUUCAGUGUUAUGCGCAUAGAUGAAAGCCACUGUACAACUCGUUCCAGAAGCUGGAUCCAUAACCCCACACAGAAUUAACUGAUCCGUUUUCAGAAACACCACUACUGACAAAGAAGGACUCCAUACAAUCCAAAUCCUCCCUCCUGCUGCAACUGAGUAAUUAUUAUCGAACCUCCAACCCGUAGCAACCGCCCCUAACACACUAAGAAAAUUCUCCUCCUGUACAUGAGUCUCCAAAAACGCACCAACUGAAGAACCCAAAUUCUGCAACCAAGAACGCACUACUCUCUGACGACCAACACCAUUCAUACCUCUAAUGUUCCAACUGAAAAUCUUCAUAUAUACAAUAAUUGGGGUAACCAAAUCAAAAACCUUUUAUCCUACCCGAGGAGAUUCCUCGAGCAAGACGCUUAGAAGAUUUCGGAGGAGAACCAACCGCUCCAGAGGAUUUCCAAAGCUCAUGUUGUCGCAAAGCACGCCUAUAAUUCUUCGAAUGUUUAGUAAACCACACAGACGAAUCUUCUUCUUCCUUAAAAAUCUCUCCUUUACUAGCAAUCUUUCCUUCGGCUAUCACUGAAUCAACAACUUCAACUUCCUCCCUAAUCUCACCUUCCUCCAACUGACUCUCUUCCGAAGCUGAUGAAGUCACCGCCAAAACUGAGUCAACUACCUUCUUCUGAUCCUUAACCCCCACAGACUUUUCCUCAAGUUCUGUAACCUCAGCAACCUGAACCCCCAACUCAGCACCCACCACCUCUGGAGGAGAGCUCAGCGCUCUCGCUCUUGCUCUCGCACGAGAACGAGACCUACGGCGAGACCUCGAACUAGCACUACUCUUCUGCUCCUGGACCUCCUCCACCGGGCCAACCAAGACCUCCUCUUGAGAUGUCGCAGCUAGAGACACCUCCUUAACAGCCUUCACCACACUGACCACCUUUCCUUGCUUCUGAGUUUGGAAUAUCUUCGAGGAAGGUUUGUGGCACCGAUUCAACAAAUGACCAAACUUUCCACAAUUUAUGCACUUAGGAGGCAGGCUAGGGUACUCAAUGUUAACUCUGACUGAAUUUCCUUGAGAGUCUCGCACUUCUACUACCUCCGGGAGAGCCUUUGAGAGAUCAAUCUCAAUCUUGACUUUUGUAUCACCAAAGUGGUAGGGGUCAAGCCGAGACUUCUCAGUGUGGAGAGGGUCUCCGAUACCACUAGCAACCACACUAAUACCAUCCAGAGAAUAUAACUGCGGUGGAACGUUCUUGAGUACCGCCCACGUUGGGGCAAAUAGAAGCUCCUGAGCAGCUAGAUUCCCAUCUGCAGUCCAAGGAUAAACCGAGAAAGCACAUCGAUCCGCCUGCCAGUAACCGACCUGCAAUACCCAUUCUCUGGUUUGCACCGAAGGAAUGAAUAUCAAGACACAAGUAUCCGACACCGUACGGACCGUGAUGUUGCCGAACUUUCCCCAGACCGGGUUCAGAUCCGCUAUAAUCUUCGCUGCCGACGGCCUCCGACCAUGGAAGUGAGCUACCACGUGAUCUUUCCAGAGUUCUGAGGUUUGGAGAAGCACCGACUCCGGCGCUUGCACUACCGGCGUGCCAUCUGCUAGAAAGGACGGAUCUGAGAUUUUACGAAGAUUUCUCAGGGAAGAUUUGAACCUCGCCGCGUAAGAAGGAACCUUCGCCGCUGGGAUCGAUGUAGGACCCGACGGUGAUUGGAGCUUCACCUCCAGAUCGCGAUUCAAGUGAUGGCUUUCGCGAUCUGAAAUUUUUGCAGAUUUCGCUCCUCCUGGGUCAAUAGGGGAGCUCGACGACGGGGAGGAAACAUGAGACGCCAUUGUGAUGAAGGGACGACUGGGAAUAGCUUCUCGCUAGUCGGCGUGAGGCCCACUCUCGGCGGUGACACACCGGAAACCUAAGUCGUCCUUUUUCGCACUUUAUCGCUCAAGAGAGAGAAAAAGGCCCGUGACCUAAUUUUUUAGUUUGUCUUCUCCCUGAAAAAUAUAACUAAUACACCUCUAGAAAGCUACAAGAACUCUCACGUAGAGACUGCAACCUUCUCAUCAUGAAAUAGUGUGAUCAAACCAAGCUGGUUCUACUUCUACAACACAGACAUAAAAUUGCCUUCAAUGAUCUAUAAACAUCUUGAACAAUGAGAUAGGGACUUCUACUUACAGAUAACUGUUCUAACACCAACUUCCAACAGAGAAAAAAUGACUGAAACCACAUAGCAAACUCGAACCAAGUCUUUUUUCUUAGUCUUCUUAUUUUUUUUUUUGUGACAUUAGAUCAAACUCGAAGCAUCACAUAUUAUUAUAUUUUCUCUACAACAAUAAUUAACCAAUGUGGGUCAGUGGGUGUGUAACAGUUGUCAAAAUUUCUAGGCUUCUAGCGCAACAAGUUAUAAAAGUCGUCGAAAUAAAGCAAAAUGCUUUACAUCUAUUUUUUAAAAUAAAAAAUAAUAGAAACAAACCAUGUAUACAGAAAUCGAAUAGUAUCUACUUUAAAUCGUUACAGGGUAAGUUCGACGGACUUUGAUUCCGAUACCUAAAGAAGUAAACCAAAGUGAAAACCACAAGAAGCGCAACGCCGGAGACGCCGCAUAUGAUGCUCGCCGCAAGAAACACGUGCCUCAUCACGUGCUCGCGUCUGUUGGCAGCUCCAUCACGCCACCACGUGUCGUCGUCUCCGCCGUCUGUAUCCGUAGCUUUGGGAAGGAGCUGAGAAGGAGGAGGAGAAGAACGGGAAUCUCCGAAGAAGGACAUCAUUUUCCCGGGAGGUGAGUGAGAUUCAGUCGGUGGUGAGCUGGUUUGAUACUGUAGGCCAUGAUCAGAAGGUCGUAAGCCUUCGGCGAAGAUGAAGAGGAAUGUUACACUGAACAUGAAGACCGAAGCCGAUCUAACGCGGUUUAAGAGAAGAGCCAUGUGAGGGAGAGAGAGAGACUUUUGUUUUGUUUU